CUACUAGAAUAUACGGGAUCCCGUCCGCUCUCCCAUAGUCAAGCUGGUAAGGGGCAGAUUAGUAGUUGGGUCGGUGACGACCA
Molecule: ribosomal RNA, 83 nt
Filed under: Epichloe typhina
Lineage: Eukaryota; Fungi; Ascomycota; Sordariomycetes; Hypocreales; Clavicipitaceae
Source: RNAcentral